This is a non-coding RNA of Malurus melanocephalus (red-backed fairy wren), 465 nucleotides long. The record is from the annotation of a RefSeq genome assembly. NCBI's taxonomy places the organism in Eukaryota, Metazoa, Chordata, Aves, Passeriformes, Maluridae.
CCAGGCAGGUUACUGAGAGCGUAAGGGAUUUUCCCCAUGGUUCCCUGCUGUUUCUUUGUGGCCAUGCUGGCCCCUGUGGCAUUGGCUCUGGAACAGUCCCUAGACAUGGUGAUAAGAGAAGGCCAGUCCGUGAAUCUGCAAUGCUCCAAGAAGAAAUCUUCCAACACAAUGAUGUACUGGUACUGGCUGCCUUUKGGGAAGGACUCCAGGCUGACCCUGCUGGUUACUGCAAUAGAAGGUGUCAAUGCAGCUGUGGAGAAGGAUUUUGAGAGCCGUUUCAAGAGCAGCAAGAUCCAAGGAGACAGCAUCACCCUCUYCAUAGAGCAUGCCUUUCUCAAUGACUCUGGCACAUAUUACUGUGCUGAGAGUGAGCACAGUGGUGAGGCUGAUGAGAGAGCUGAGCACAAACUUCUCCCUGCACAAACAGCACCUGCUUUCCAUGUCCUGGGUGCUGCACGAGGCAGG